RNAcentral lists this microRNA precursor (74 nucleotides) under Atractosteus spatula (alligator gar). Its description in RNAcentral is "mir-10 microRNA precursor family". It matches the Rfam family "mir-10 microRNA precursor family". Rfam says of the family: In this case the mature sequence comes from the 5' arm of the precursor. The extents of the hairpin precursors are not generally known and are estimated based on hairpin prediction. The products are thought to have regulatory roles through complementarity to mRNA. The record is from Rfam by way of RNAcentral. RNAcentral also lists the same sequence under 1 other name. Lineage: Eukaryota; Metazoa; Chordata; Actinopteri; Semionotiformes; Lepisosteidae.
CUAUAUGUACCCUGUAGAACCGAAUUUGUGUGAGCAGCAAAAAUCGCAAAUUCGUCUCUAGGGGAAUACAUGGG